Long non-coding RNA from Nematostella vectensis (starlet sea anemone), 850 nucleotides. RefSeq lists it as uncharacterized. NCBI's taxonomy places the organism in Eukaryota, Metazoa, Cnidaria, Anthozoa, Actiniaria, Edwardsiidae. The transcript is spliced from 2 exons. The record is from RefSeq and is a predicted model, not a curated record.
AAAUUAAGUUAUUUUAUAACACAAAAGCUUGGACAUUAGUAGAUGAAAAGAUUUAAGCUAUUUCACCACAAAACCUUGGAUGUUAGAGGAAAAGAUUUAAAGGGGAACUGCAAGCUAAAUACAACCAGGACUCGUAUUUAGAUGUAAAAACAAAAAAUACGCUUACUGUAGGUGUUUUCGCGCGGUUAUAAUUCGUUUUCGAGAAAUUCGACGUUUCGCCACCAUCUUGGAUGUUUUGCUCGUCAGCGCAUAAACUGUCAGCGGUCGCUUUUGUGACGUGCUGUAUGAACAAGAUGGCGUGGUCUAUGUUGCUCUUUGGCAUUACCGCUGAAACUUUGUGGCAGCCAUUUGUUUUCGUCUCAUUCCACGUUGCAUCAAACAACCUCACGUUAAAUCAUUCAAGCUCGAAACUAUGCAAGAGCAAGCAUAUCACAACCAAACCACAAUGGAUCUGAGGAAUCGGUGUACAUGUGCGUAAAAACUUUGUCGUGCUGCUAAUGAAGUUAUUAGCCUUAAAAUGGGUAAAAUAAGCUUUUACUUGAAAAUGAAUAAGAAGAUUCAGAGUGAUGCUCUAAAAAUGAAGAAUCAAGCUAGUGACUUAAAAUACUAUUGUACAAACAGUCCAUUUUAUUUGUUCAUUUUGGUGGCAGUCACAAGGUGAUGUGCUGCUUAUCAUUUUCUGGAAUGUGGUUGAUGACUGCAUUCCCCACCUCUGGAUGAUAAAAGUCCAAUCAAAUGUUACCAGUAUAUGAGAAUGUUUGAAUGCAAGGAUUACACUGAUGAAGAACCUAAAAAGAAUAACUUCAUGCUUCACACCUGUACCACAAUAAAAGGUUGUGCAGCUGUGCUA